GGCUGGUAGAAGGUGGUGAGUUGUCUCAACUGAUCGUUCAGAUACUCCUUGUUCUACUCUUUCUCCCCUUCUCACUACUGUGCUUGACUAAUCUAAA
Cebus imitator (Panamanian white-faced capuchin) is the source of this 97-nucleotide unclassified non-coding RNA. It matches the Rfam family "Y RNA". Rfam says of the family: Y RNAs are components of the Ro ribonucleoprotein particle (Ro RNP), in association with Ro60 and La proteins. The Y RNAs and Ro60 and La proteins are well conserved, but the function of the Ro RNP is not known. In humans the RNA component can be one of four small RNAs -- hY1, hY3, hY4 and hY5. Lineage: Eukaryota; Metazoa; Chordata; Mammalia; Primates; Cebidae. The record is from Ensembl.